RNAcentral lists this ribosomal RNA (408 nucleotides) under Triticum aestivum (bread wheat). RNAcentral's name for it is "partial small subunit ribosomal RNA". Lineage: Eukaryota; Viridiplantae; Streptophyta; Magnoliopsida; Poales; Poaceae. The record is from RNAcentral.
AUGACUUUGGCCUUUUCACGAAAUAAACAAAAAAUAAAUUGUACUCUGCCUUUCCUAAUGGCAAAGCUAUUCUUUUUUAGGGAAAGGCAGAGCUCCAAAUGGCUUUUUUUUUUUUUGACAAAGAGCUCCAAAUGGCUGCCACUCUCCAAGACGCCACGCGUUCAUGGCUUUACCAAAGCCCAGCACAAGACGACGAAGGCGUGGGCUCUCGGCCCGUGCGGCACUGAGUUUCCAAGUCUGAACUCCACUCACUCCCGACGAUCGCUCCAGUGGUUGGUUCAUUUGCACCCACGCCACGCCACGAUCCCCCCCGAACAAAAAUCCGUCAGUCGACGUCGACGUGCAGGUUCAGAUACCUCUGGCCAUUCUACCGCGGGCAGGCCGGCAGUGGGCGAACGUGGACGGUAA